Molecule: ribosomal RNA, 492 nt
Filed under: uncultured bacterium
Lineage: Bacteria
Description: partial 16S ribosomal RNA
Rfam family: Bacterial small subunit ribosomal RNA
Source: RNAcentral
AGUGAACGCUGGCGGCAGGCCUAACACAUGCAAGUCGAACGGCAGCACAGUAAGAGCUUGCUCUUACGGGUGGCGAGUGGCGGACGGGUGAGGAAUACAUCGUAAUCUACUUUUUCGUGGGGGAUAACGUAGGGAAACUUACGCUAAUACCGCAUACGACCUACGGGUGAAAGCAGGGGAUCUUCUGACCUUGCGCGAUUGAAUGAGCCGAUGUCGGAUUAGCUAGUUGGCGGGGUAAAGGCCCACCAAGGCGACGAUCCGUAGCUGGUCUGAGAGGAUGAUCAGCCACACUGGAACUGAGACACGGUCCAGACUCCUACGGGAGGCAGCAGUGGGGAAUAUUGGACAAUGGGCGCAAGCCUGAUCCAGCCAUACCGCGUGGGUGAAGAAGGCCUUCGGGUUGUAAAGCCCUUUUGUUGGGAAAGAAAAGCAGCAGGUUAAUACCCCGCUGUUCUGACGGUACCCAAAGAAUAAGCACCGGCUAACUUCGUG